This 386-nucleotide ribosomal RNA is filed under the name uncultured bacterium. RNAcentral describes it as "bacterial SSU rRNA". It matches the Rfam family "Bacterial small subunit ribosomal RNA", at positions 30 to 416 of the family's 1533-position model. The record is from RNAcentral.
AUUGAACGCUGGCGGUAUGCUUAACACAUGCAAGUCGAACGGCAGCACGGGGCAACCUGGUGGCGAGUGGCGAACGGGUGAGUAAUACAUCGGAACGUGCCCAAUCGUGGGGGGAUAACGUAGCGAAAGUUACGCUAAUACCGCAUACGAUCUACGGAUGAAAGCGGGGGAUCGCAAGACCUCGCGCGAAUGGAGCGGCCGAUGUCAGAUUAGGUAGUUGGUGGGGUAAAGGCUCACCAAGCCAACGAUCUGUAGCUGGUCUGAGAGGACGACCAGCCACACUGGAACUGAGACACGGUCCAGACUCCUACGGGAGGCAGCAGUGGGGAAUUUUGGGACAAUGGGCGCAAGCCUGAUCCAGCCAUUCCGCGUGCAGGAUGAAGGCC